AGCGAACGCUGGCGGCAGGCCUAACACAUGCAAGUCGAACGAACCUUUCGGGGUUAGUUGCGGACGGGGGAGGACCACGGGGGAACGUGCCCGUAGGUACCGUACACUUCACGGUAACUUGACUUCAUAACGAAUGUGCUCUUCGCGGGAAAGAUCUAUCGCCGAUAGAACGGCCGGCGACUGUUUAGCCAGUUGGUGAUGGUAAUGCCUCACCACGGCGACGUUCUGUAGCUGGUCCGAGCGGAUGCUCCGCCACGUUGGAACUGAGACACAGACAAAAAUCCUACGGGAGGCAGCGGUGGAGGAUCUAGCGCGAUGGACGAAAGCCUGACGAAGCCAUGCCGCGUGAAUGAUGCAGGUCUUAGGAAUGUGAAGUUCUUUGACAGGAAGCGAUAGUGACGGUACCCGGAGAAGAAGCCCCGGCUAACUUCGUG
Molecule: ribosomal RNA, 434 nt
Filed under: uncultured bacterium
Lineage: Bacteria
Description: partial 16S ribosomal RNA
Rfam family: Bacterial small subunit ribosomal RNA
Source: RNAcentral